GACGAACGCUGGCGGCGUGCCUAAUACAUGCAAGUAGAACGCUGAAGCGAGGAGCUUACUCUUCUUGGAUGAGUUGCGAACGGGUGAGUAACGCGUAGGUAACCUGCCUUGUAGCGGGGGAUAACUAUUGGAAACGAUAGCUAAUACCGCAUAACAAUGGAUGACACAUGUCAUUUAUUUGAAAGGGGCAAUUGCUCCACUACAAGAUGGACCUGCGUUGUAUUAGCUAGUAGGUGAGGUAAUGGCUCACCUAGGCGACGAUACAUAGCCGACCUGAGAGGGUGAUCGGCCACACUGGGACUGAGACACGGCCCAGACUCCUACGGGAGGCAGCAGUAGGGAAUCUUCGGCAAUGGGGGCAACCCUGACCGAGCAACGCCGCGUGAGUGAAGAAGGUUGUCGGAUCGUAAAGCUCUGUUGUAAGUCAAGAACGGGGGUGAGAGUGGAAAGUUCACACUGUGACGGUAGCUUACCAGAAAGGGACGGCUAACUACGUG
Molecule: ribosomal RNA, 497 nt
Filed under: uncultured bacterium
Lineage: Bacteria
Description: partial 16S ribosomal RNA
Rfam family: Bacterial small subunit ribosomal RNA
Source: RNAcentral